UAGGUGUUAGUUUAAGUAGAAUAUGUGCUUUGGGAGCAUAAGGACUGGUGGUGCAGAUGCCUAG
RNAcentral lists this transfer RNA (64 nucleotides) under Barbatia decussata. Its description in RNAcentral is "tRNA-Pro". The record is from RNAcentral. Lineage: Eukaryota; Metazoa; Mollusca; Bivalvia; Arcoida; Arcidae.